GACGAACGCUGGCGGCGUGCUUAACACAUGCAAGUCGAACGGUGAAGCGCCUUCCUUUUUGGUGGGUGUGGAUGAGUGGCGAACGGGUGAGUAACACGUGAGUAACCUGCCCCCUUCUUCUGGAUAACCGCAUGAAAGUGUGGCUAAUACGGGAUAUUCUGGGUCUGUCGCAUGAUGGGUCUGGGAAAGAUAUUGUUUCGGUGGGGGAUGGGCUCGCGGCCUAUCAGCUUGUUGGUGGGGUGAUGGCCUACCAAGGCGGUGACGGGUAGCCGGCCUGAGAGGGUGGACGGUCACACUGGGACUGAGACACGGCCCAGACUCCUACGGGAGGCAGCAGUGGGGAAUAGUGCACAAUGGGCGCAAGCCUGAUGCAGCGACGCCGCGGGAGGGAUGGAGGCCUGCGGGUUGUGAACCUCUUUCGCCAGUGAAGCAGGCCUGCCUCGUUUGUGGGUGGGUUGACGGUAGCUGGAGAAGAAGCGCCGGCUAACUACGUG
This 494-nucleotide ribosomal RNA is filed under the name uncultured bacterium. RNAcentral's name for it is "partial 16S ribosomal RNA". It matches the Rfam family "Bacterial small subunit ribosomal RNA", at positions 28 to 507 of the family's 1533-position model. The record is from RNAcentral.